This 403-nucleotide ribosomal RNA is filed under the name uncultured bacterium. RNAcentral's name for it is "bacterial SSU rRNA". It matches the Rfam family "Bacterial small subunit ribosomal RNA", at positions 362 to 756 of the family's 1533-position model. The record is from RNAcentral.
UCUUCCGCAAUGGACGAAGGUCUGACGGAGCAACGCCGCGUGUAUGAUGAAGGUCUUCGGAUUGUAAAGUACUGUCAUUGGGGAAGAACGGUUUUCUUGAAAAUAUUGAGAAGACAUGACGGUACCCAAGGAGGAAGCUCCGGCUAACUACGUGCCAGCAGCCGCGGUAAUACGGAGGGGGCAAGCGUUGUCCGGAAUUUUUGGGCGUAAAGGGCGCGUAGGCGGGCCUUUAAGUCCGGUGUGAAAGAUCAGGGCUCAACCCUGAGAGUGCAUCGGAAACUGAAGGCCUUGAGGACAGGAGAGGACAGUGUAAUUCCACGUGUAGCGGUGAAAUGCGUAGAUCUGUGGAGGAACACCAGUGGCGAAGGCGACUUUCUGGACUGUAACUGACGCUGAGGCGCGA